AUCAGGCCUGACGAUUGUGCCGGUUUUAUUUAUACCUGGAAGGUACGACGUACUAACAAUCAGGCAAAGGUGUACAAAUAUGCACUGAUGUGUAUUUUAUGUAUGCGAUCAUGUACAAUUUUUGUCAUUUUUAAAAUUCCACACUCCACUUCAGCGUCACAAUCAGGGUGCAAUCGAGAGUCAUGAUUAUCAGGCCUGACGAUUGUGCCGGUUUUAUUUAUACCUGGAAGGUACGACGUACUUACAAUCAGGCAAAGAUGUACAAAUAUGCACUGAUAUGUAUUUUAUGUAUGCGAUUAUGUACAAUUUUUGUCGUCUUGAUUGUGAGCUUAUACCUCCGCUGGAAAUCGGUGGGUCCAAGCGUAUUCGGAUCUUUCAAUCCUCCAAAUUCUUUAAUGGCAAUCAAUCGUGAAACACGCGAACUGAAAUUCAGUAAACGACGAACACCGAUAAUUGAAACGUACCGAACUCUGAAACUCGUGAGCGGUCUAAGACCUGCUCAAAUGUAAAAUUAUAAAUAGCUCGUUUUAUUUUGAAACGAAACAGACGCGGAACACCAGUGAUAACAAAGAGCACAUCUAAGGCUGUCGAGACUAGAAGAAGACAAGCAUAGAAACAUUGACACAUGUGUUUCCACGGGCACACGUAUUAUACACGUGUUGUGUUAUAAAACACAAUAGCCCUUUGCAAUUGAAAUGCGUCACGUGCUAUCAGAAGCUCAGAGGUACGAGGUGAAAUAAUUUUCUUCAAUUAAAGAGCGACACUCGCCAGACACGGUUGAAAACUAAUUUGUUACAAGACCGCCUGUAAAGUCCACAGUUAUAUUCAUGCGGUCGAAUUGACUGUUCAACACCGUCUCCUCAUGGAAACCAUUUUCAAUUUAGCGAUCUCCAUCUCUAUAUGGGCUCUGGAAUCGGUAUCUUCAGGGCUCGGCCCUCCAGCAUCUCCUGAAGGAGCACUCCGAUUUCCUGUUCAAUUAUAAUUAUGUUUAUAUUAUCGAUGAAAAAA
This 1008-nucleotide unclassified non-coding RNA is filed under the name Athalia rosae (coleseed sawfly). RNAcentral describes it as "misc RNA ENSAEAG00005009480.1". Lineage: Eukaryota; Metazoa; Arthropoda; Insecta; Hymenoptera; Athaliidae. The record is from RNAcentral.